CUUGUAGUCCCUCCGUCAGAAAAUACUUGUCAUUGAAAUGGAUGUGUCUAGAUAUAUUUUAGUUCUAGACACAUCCAUUUUGAUGACAAGUAAUUCCGGACGGAGGAAGUACUUG
Non-coding RNA from Triticum aestivum (bread wheat), 115 nucleotides. NCBI's taxonomy places the organism in Eukaryota, Viridiplantae, Streptophyta, Magnoliopsida, Poales, Poaceae. The record is from Rfam.